AGGUUGACCUCGGAUCAGGUAGGGAUACCCGCUGAACUUAAGCAUAUCAAUAAGCGGAGGAAAAGAAACCAACCGGGAUUGCCCUAGUAACGGCGAGUGAAGCGGCAAGAGCUCAAAUUUGAAAGCUGGCCCCCUCGGGGUCCGCGUUGUAAUUUGCAGAGGAUGCUUCGGGAGCGGUCCCCAUCUAAGUGCCCUGGAACGGGCCGUCAUAGAGGGUGAGAAUCCCGUCUGGGAUGGGGUGCCCGCGCCCGUGUGAAGCUCCUUCGACGAGUCGAGUUGUUUGGGAAUGCAGCUCUAAUUGGGUGGUAAAUUUCAUCUAAAGCUAAAUAUUGGCCGGAGACCGAUAGCGCACAAGUAGAGUGAUCGAAAGAUGAAAAGCACUUUGAAAAGAGAGUUAAACAGCACGUGAAAUUGUUGAAAGGGAAGCGCUUGCGAUCAGACUCGCUCGCGGGGUUCAGCCGGCAUUCGUGCCGGUGUACUUCCCCGCGGGCGGGCCAGCGUCGGUUUGGGCGGCCGGUCAAAGGCCCCUGGAAUGUAACGCCUCUCGGGGCGUCUUAUAGCCAGGGGUGCCAUGCGGCCUGCCCGGACCGAGGAACGCGCUUCGGCUCG
RNAcentral lists this ribosomal RNA (609 nucleotides) under Penicillium alicantinum. RNAcentral's name for it is "eukaryotic LSU rRNA". It matches the Rfam family "Eukaryotic large subunit ribosomal RNA", at positions 1 to 609 of the family's 3401-position model. The record is from RNAcentral. Lineage: Eukaryota; Fungi; Ascomycota; Eurotiomycetes; Eurotiales; Aspergillaceae.